RNAcentral lists this long non-coding RNA (85 nucleotides) under Neodiprion lecontei (redheaded pine sawfly). RNAcentral's name for it is "uncharacterized LOC124293327". The record is from RNAcentral. Lineage: Eukaryota; Metazoa; Arthropoda; Insecta; Hymenoptera; Diprionidae.
UAAAAAAGGCUUUAACAUCGAUGUAUUGUUGUGCCAAGCGUUAAAUUUUCGCAACAUUUACGAGAAAAUCUAGUAACAGUGAUCG